This is a non-coding RNA of Cordylochernes scorpioides, 82 nucleotides long. The record is from the annotation of a GenBank genome assembly. NCBI's taxonomy places the organism in Eukaryota, Metazoa, Arthropoda, Arachnida, Pseudoscorpiones, Chernetidae.
CGCCCGGACAGGGGCUAGAACCCUGGACCGAUAGGUUAAAAGCCUAACGCUCUACCGACAGAAAUAUAUUUAUUUACGGGGC